RNAcentral lists this ribosomal RNA (492 nucleotides) under uncultured bacterium. Its description in RNAcentral is "partial 16S ribosomal RNA". It matches the Rfam family "Bacterial small subunit ribosomal RNA", at positions 28 to 507 of the family's 1533-position model. The record is from RNAcentral.
GAUGAACGCUAGCUACAGGCUUAACACAUGCAAGUCGAGGGGAAACGGCAUCGAAAGCUUGCUUUUGAUGGGCGUCGACCGGCGCACGGGUGAGUAACGCGUAUCCAACCUGCCCAUCACUUGGGAAUAACCUUGCGAAAGUAAGACUAAUGCCCAAUGACAUCCCACGAAGGCAUCCGAAUGGGAUUAAAGAUUUAUCGGUGAUGGAUGGGGAUGCGUCUGAUUAGCUUGUUGGCGGGGUGACGGCCCACCAAGGCAACGAUCAGUAGGGGUUCUGAGAGGAAGGUCCCCCACAUUGGAACUGAGACACGGUCCAAACUCCUACGGGAGGCAGCAGUGAGGAAUAUUGGUCAAUGGGCGAGAGCCUGAACCAGCCAAGUAGCGUGCAGGAUGACGGCCCUAUGGGUUGUAAACUGCUUUUAUAAGGGAAUAAAGUGGGUCACGUGUGACUUUUUGCAUGUACCUUAUGAAUAAGGACCGGCUAAUUCCGUA